UGGGGAAUCUUGGACAAUGGGCGCAAGCCUGAUCCAGCCAUGCCGCGUGAGUGAUGAAGGCCCUAGGGUCGUAAAGCUCUUUCGCCUGUGAAGAUAAUGACGGUAGCAGGUAAAGAAACCCCGGCUAACUCCGUGCCAGCAGCCGCGGUAAUACGGAGGGGGUUAGCGUUGUUCGGAAUUACUGGGCGUAAAGCGCGCGUAGGCGGACUAUUAAGUCAGAGGUGAAAUCCCGGGGCUCAACCCCGGAACUGCCUUUGAUACUGGUAGUCUUGAGUUCGAGAGAGGUAAGUGGAAUUCCGAGUGUAGAGGUGAAAUUCGUAGAUAUUCGGAGGAACACCAGUGGCGAAGGCGGCUUACUGGCUCGAUACUGACGCUGAGGUGCGAAAGUGUGGGGAGCAAACAGG
RNAcentral lists this ribosomal RNA (404 nucleotides) under uncultured bacterium. Its description in RNAcentral is "bacterial SSU rRNA". It matches the Rfam family "Bacterial small subunit ribosomal RNA", at positions 355 to 776 of the family's 1533-position model. The record is from RNAcentral.